This 1504-nucleotide ribosomal RNA is filed under the name Streptomyces sp. MMG1533. RNAcentral's name for it is "bacterial LSU rRNA". It matches the Rfam family "Bacterial large subunit ribosomal RNA", at positions 1451 to 2925 of the family's 2925-position model. The record is from RNAcentral. Lineage: Bacteria; Bacillati; Actinomycetota; Actinomycetes; Kitasatosporales; Streptomycetaceae.
UAGUAGGUGAGUGAUGGGGUGACGCAGGAAGGUAGUCCAUCCCGGGCGGUGGUUGUCCCGGGGUAAGGGUGUAGCCCGUGUGAUAGGUAAAUCCGUCGCACAUGAGGGUGAGACCUGAUGCCGAGCCGAUUGUGGUGAAGUGGAUGAUCCUAUGCUGUCGAGAAAAGCCUCUAGCGAGUUUCAUGGCGGCCCGUACCCUAAACCGACUCAGGUGGUCAGGUAGAGAAUACCGAGGCGUUCGGGUGAACUAUGGUUAAGGAACUCGGCAAAAUGCCCCCGUAACUUCGGGAGAAGGGGGGCCACAUCCGGUGAGGGGACUUGCUCCUCGAGCUGGGGGUGGCCGCAGAGACCAGCGAGAAGCGACUGUUUACUAAAAACACAGGUCCGUGCGAAGCCGUAAGGCGAUGUAUACGGACUGACGCCUGCCCGGUGCUGGAACGUUAAGGGGACCGGUUAGUCCGAUUUCGGUCGGGCGAAGCUGAGAACUUAAGCGCCAGUAAACGGCGGUGGUAACUAUAACCAUCCUAAGGUAGCGAAAUUCCUUGUCGGGUAAGUUCCGACCUGCACGAAUGGCGUAACGACUUCUCGACUGUCUCAACCAUAGGCCCGGUGAAAUUGCACUACGAGUAAAGAUGCUCGUUUCGCGCAGCAGGACGGAAAGACCCCGGGACCUUUACUACAGUUUGAUAUUGGUGUUCGGUUCGGCUUGUGUAGGAUAGCUGGGAGACUGUGAAGCUUGGACGCCAGUUCAGGUGGAGUCGUCGUUGAAAUACCAGUCUGGUCGUGCUGGAUGUCUAACCUGGGUCCGUGAUCCGGAUCAGGGACAGUGUCUGAUGGGUAGUUUAACUGGGGCGGUUGCCUCCUAAAGAGUAACGGAGGCGCCCAAAGGUUCCCUCAGCCUGGUUGGCAAUCAGGUGUUGAGUGUAAGUGCACAAGGGAGCUUGACUGUGAGACCGACGGGUCGAGCAGGGACGAAAGUCGGGACUAGUGAUCCGGCGGUGGCUUGUGGAAGCGCCGUCGCUCAACGGAUAAAAGGUACCCCGGGGAUAACAGGCUGAUCUUCCCCAAGAGUCCAUAUCGACGGGAUGGUUUGGCACCUCGAUGUCGGCUCGUCGCAUCCUGGGGCUGGAGUCGGUCCCAAGGGUUGGGCUGUUCGCCCAUUAAAGCGGUACGCGAGCUGGGUUUAGAACGUCGUGAGACAGUUCGGUCCCUAUCCGCUGCGCGCGCAGGAAUAUUGAGAAGGGCUGUCCCUAGUACGAGAGGACCGGGACGGACGAACCUCUGGUGUGCCAGUUGUCCUGCCAAGGGCAUGGCUGGUUGGCUACGUUCGGGAGGGAUAACCGCUGAAAGCAUCUAAGCGGGAAGCCUGCUUCGAGAUGAGUAUUCCCACCCACUUGAUGGGGUAAGGCUCCCAGUAGACGACUGGGUUGAUAGGCCGGAUCUGGAAGCACGGUAACGUGUGGAGGUGACCGGUACUAAUAGGCCGAGGGCUUGUCCUCAGUUG